Molecule: ribosomal RNA, 465 nt
Filed under: uncultured bacterium
Lineage: Bacteria
Description: bacterial SSU rRNA
Rfam family: Bacterial small subunit ribosomal RNA
Source: RNAcentral
CCUACGGGAUGCACCAGUGGGGAAUAUUGCACAAUGGGCGCAAGCCUGAUGCAGCCAUGCCGCGUGUAUGAAGAAGGCCUUCGGGUUGUAAAGUACUUUCAGCGAGGAGGAAGGCGUUAAGGUUAAUAACCUUGGCGGUUGACGUUGCUCGCAGAAAAAGCACCGGCUAACUCCGUGCCAGCAGCCGCGGUAAUACGGAGGGUGCAAGCGUUAAUCGGAAUUACUGGGCGUAAAGCGCACGCAGGCGGUCUGUCAAGUCGGAUGUGAAAUCCCCGGGCUCAACCUGGGAACUGCAUUCGAAACUGGCAGGCUAGAGUCUUGUAGAGGGGGGUAGAAUUCCAGGUGUAGCGGUGAAAUGCGUAGAGAUCUGGAGGAAUACCGGUGGCGAAGGCGGCCCCCUGGACAAAGACUGACGCUCAGGUGCGAAAGCGUGGGGAGCAAACAGGAUUAGAUACCCCAGUAGUC